UUGUCUUUAGUACGGCGAGUGAGCGGCAAAAGCUCAAAUUUGAAAUCUGGUACCUUCGGUGCCCGAGUUGUAAUUUGGAGAGGGCAACUUUGGGGCCGUUCCUUGUCUAUGUUCCUUGGAACAGGACGUCAUAGAGGGUGAGAAUCCCGUGUGGCGAGGAGUGCGGUUCUUUGUAAAGUGCCUUCGAAGAGUCGAGUUGUUUGGGAAUGCAGCUCUAAGUGGGUGGUAAAUUCCAUCUAAAGCUAAAUAUUGGCGAGAGACCGAUAGCGAACAAGUACAGUGAUGGAAAGAUGAAAAGAACUUUGAAAAGAGAGUGAAAAAGUACGUGAAAUUGUUGAAAGGGAAGGGCAUUUGAUCAGACAUGGUGUUUUGUGCCCUCUGCUCCUUGUGGGUAGGGGAAUCUCGCAUUUCACUGGGCCAGCAUCAGUUUUGGUGGCAGGAUAAAUCCAUAGGAAUGUAGCUUGCCUCGGUAAGUAUUAUAGCCUGUGGGAAUACUGCCAGCUGGGACUGAGGACUGCGACGUAAGUCAAGGAUGCUGGCAUAAUGGUUAUAUGCCGCCCGUCUUGAA
This 568-nucleotide ribosomal RNA is filed under the name Saccharomyces cerevisiae (brewer's yeast). RNAcentral's name for it is "eukaryotic LSU rRNA". It matches the Rfam family "Eukaryotic large subunit ribosomal RNA", at positions 73 to 658 of the family's 3401-position model. The record is from RNAcentral. Lineage: Eukaryota; Fungi; Ascomycota; Saccharomycetes; Saccharomycetales; Saccharomycetaceae.